This 537-nucleotide long non-coding RNA is filed under the name Brassica rapa (field mustard). Its description in RNAcentral is "long non-coding RNA (BRAP_LNC001677)". The record is from RNAcentral. Lineage: Eukaryota; Viridiplantae; Streptophyta; Magnoliopsida; Brassicales; Brassicaceae.
UGAGGAGCACGCAUAUGAGCAUAAGGAUCUGCAUAUCCUUGAUGGUUCAUAUACGGUUGUGGUGCUUCUUGUCCAUACCCUUGGCCGUAUCCUUGAUUCGUAUACGAUUCUUGUACAUAUCCUUGGUUAGUAUACGGUUCUUGUACGUACGAUUGAGAUGAUUGACCUUGCAUCAUGUAGUGUUGACCGUACAUUUGUCCUGGUGGGUAGUAAUACAUGGGCUGAGGUGGAUAGCCAUAACCGCCAUACUCCGAUUUCUUCACAUCCACCGUAGCACCACCGUCUCCGCCUCCGGCUGAGGAAACUUCUUUCUUCUUGUCACCACCACCGUCUUUCUUUUCCCCCACAUCUUUGUUCUCUUUCUUUUCACCACCAUCCUUCUUUUCUCCGACAUCUUUGCUCUCUUUCUUUUCACCAGCAUCUUUAUCCUUCUUCUCGCUACCAGCUGAAGCUGAAGCCGCCGCCGCUGCUGCCACGGUGGCUCCUUCCUCUUUUUUCGGUGGAACAACUUCGACGUUGCGUUUAAGCUUCUCGUUG